GACGAACGCUGGCGGCGUGCUUAACACAUGCAAGUCGAACGGAAAGGCCCUGCUUUUGUGGGGUGCUCGAGUGGCGAACGGGUGAGUAACACGUGAGUAACCUGCCCUUGACUUUGGGAUAACUUCAGGAAACUGGGGCUAAUACCGGAUAGGAGCUCCUGCUGCAUGGUGGGGGUUGGAAAGUUUCGGCGGUUGGGAAUGGACUCGCGGCUUAUCAGCUUGUUGGUUGGGUAGUGGCUUACCAAGGCUUUGACGGGUAGCCGGCCUGAGUGGGUGACCGGCCACAAUGGGACUGAGAUACGGCCCAGACUCCUACGGGAGGCAGCAGUGGGGAAUAUUGCACAAUGGGCGGAAGCCUGAUGCAGCAACGCCGCGUGCGGGAUGACGGCCUUCGGGUUGUAAACCGCUUUCGCCUGUGACGAAGCGUGAGUGACGGUAAUGGGUAAAGAAGCACCGGCUAACUACGUG
This 468-nucleotide ribosomal RNA is filed under the name uncultured bacterium. Its description in RNAcentral is "partial 16S ribosomal RNA". It matches the Rfam family "Bacterial small subunit ribosomal RNA", at positions 28 to 507 of the family's 1533-position model. The record is from RNAcentral.